Molecule: ribosomal RNA, 118 nt
Filed under: Leptotrombidium deliense
Lineage: Eukaryota; Metazoa; Arthropoda; Arachnida; Trombidiformes; Trombiculidae
Source: RNAcentral
AUCAAUGAACCAUACCACGUUGAAAAUACCACUUCGUCCGAUCCAUGAAGGAAAGCAACGUCGGGCUGAGUUAGUACCUUGUAGGGACACCACUUGGGAACACUCGGUGUCGUAGACU